ACAGCAGCAGCCGCGGGAAUACGAAGGGGGCUAGCGUUGCUCGGAAUUACUGGGCGUAAAGGGAGCGUAGGCGGGUCGUUUAGUCAGAGGUGAAAUCCCGGGGCUCAACCUCGGAACUGCCUUUGAUACUGGCGACCUUGAGUAUGGGAGAGGUGAGUGGAACUCCGAGUGUAGAGGUGAAAUUCGUAGAUAUUCGGAAGAACACCAGUGGCGAAAGCGACUCACUGGCCCAUUACUGACGCUGAGGCUCGAAAGCGUGGGGGGCAAACAGGAUUAGAUACCCCAGUAGUCCCUGUCUCUUAUAC
Molecule: ribosomal RNA, 305 nt
Filed under: uncultured bacterium
Lineage: Bacteria
Description: partial 16S ribosomal RNA
Rfam family: Bacterial small subunit ribosomal RNA
Source: RNAcentral